UACUCGAGUGGCGAACGGGUGAGUAACACGUGGGUGAUCUGCCCUGCACUUCGGGAUAAGCUUGGGAAACUUGGUCUAAUACCGGAUAGGAGCCAUCUUUAGUGUGGUGGUUGGAAAGUUUUUUCGGUGUAGGAUGAGCUCGCGGCCUAUCAGCUUGUUGGUGGGGUAAUUGGCCUACCAAGGCGGCGACGGGUAGCCGGCCUGAGAGGGUGUACGGCCACAUUGGGACUGAGAUACGGCCCAG
Molecule: ribosomal RNA, 244 nt
Filed under: uncultured Actinomycetales bacterium
Lineage: Bacteria; Bacillati; Actinomycetota; Actinomycetes; Actinomycetales
Description: partial 16S ribosomal RNA
Rfam family: Bacterial small subunit ribosomal RNA
Source: RNAcentral